UGGUUUAAUUCGAUGCAACGCGAAGAACCUUACCUACUCUUGACAUCCAGAGAACUUAGCAGAGAUGCUUUGGUGCCUUCGGGAACUCUGAGACAGGUGCUGCAUGGCUGUCGUCAGCUCGUGUUGUGAAAUGUUGGGUUAAGUCCCGCAACGAGCGCAACCCUUAUCCUUUGUUGCCAGCGCGUGAUGGCGGGAACUCAAAGGAGACUGCCGGUGAUAAACCGGAGGAAGGUGGGGAUGACGUCAAGUCAUCAUGGCCCUUACGAGUAGGGCUACACACGUGCUACAAUGGCGUAUACAAAGGGAAGCGACCCCGCGAGGGCAAGCGGAACUCAUAAAGUACGUCGUAGUCCGGAUUGGAGUCUGCAACUCGACUCCAUGAAGUCGGAAUCGCUAGUAAUCGUAGAUCAGAAUGCUACGGUGAAUACGUUCCCGGGCCUUGUACACACCGCCCGUCACACCAUGGGAGUGGGUUGCAAAAGAAGUAGGUAGCUUAACCUCCGGGAGGGCGCUUACCACUUUGUGAUUCAUGACUGGGGUGAAGUCGUAACAAGGUAACCGUAGGGGAACCUGCG
RNAcentral lists this ribosomal RNA (575 nucleotides) under Morganella morganii. RNAcentral describes it as "bacterial SSU rRNA". It matches the Rfam family "Bacterial small subunit ribosomal RNA", at positions 942 to 1516 of the family's 1533-position model. Lineage: Bacteria; Pseudomonadati; Pseudomonadota; Gammaproteobacteria; Enterobacterales; Morganellaceae. The record is from RNAcentral.